Molecule: ribosomal RNA, 733 nt
Filed under: uncultured bacterium
Lineage: Bacteria
Description: bacterial SSU rRNA
Rfam family: Bacterial small subunit ribosomal RNA
Source: RNAcentral
GCAAGUCGAACGGGCUCUUCGGAGCUAGUGGCGGACGGGUGAGUAACGCGUGAGAAUCUGCCUUCAGGUCUGGGACAACAGAAGGAAACUUCUGCUAAUCCCGGAUGAGCCCUUGGGUAAAAGAUAAAUUGCCUGGAGAUGAGCUCGCGUCUGAUUAGCUAGUUGGUGUGAUAAAAGCAUACCAAGGCGACGAUCAGUAGCUGGUCUGAGAGGAUGAGCAGCCACACUGGGACUGGGACACGGCCCAGACUCCUACGGGAGGCAGCAGUGGGGAAUUUUCCGCAAUGGGCGAAAGCCUGACGGAGCAAGACCGCGUGGGGGAGGAAAGCUCUAGGGUUGUAAACCCCUUUUCUUUGGGAAGAAGUACUGACGGUACCAAAGGAAUCAGCCUCGGCUAACUCCGUGCCAGCAGCCGCGGUAAUACGGAGGAGGCAAGCGUUAUCCGGAAUGAUUGGGCGUAAAGCGUCCGCAGGUGGCCAUGUAAGUCUGCUGUCAAAACCCAGGGCUUAACUCUGGUCAGGCAGUGGAAACUACAAAGCUAGAGUUCGGUAGGGGCAAAGGGAAUUCCCGGUGUAGCGGUGAAAUGCGUAGAUAUCGGGAAGAACAUCGGUGGCGAAAGCGCUUUGCUAGACCAAAACUGACACUCAGGGACGAAAGCUAGGGGAGCGAAUGGGAUUAGAUACCCCAGUAGUCCUAGCCGUAAACGAUGGAUACUAGGUGUUGCCUGUAUCGA